RNAcentral lists this ribosomal RNA (434 nucleotides) under uncultured bacterium. Its description in RNAcentral is "partial 16S ribosomal RNA". It matches the Rfam family "Bacterial small subunit ribosomal RNA", at positions 29 to 507 of the family's 1533-position model. The record is from RNAcentral.
AGCGAACGCUGGCGGCAGGCCUAACACAUGCAAGUCGAACGAACCUUUCGGGGUUAGUGGCGGACGGGGGAGUAACACGUGGGAACGUGCCUUUAGGUUCGGAAUAACUCAGGGAAACUUGUGCUAAUACCGAAUGUGCCCUUCGGGGGAAAGAUUUAUCGCCUUUAGAGCGGCCCGCGUCUGAUUAGCUAGUUGGUUGAGGUAAUGGCUCACCAAGGCGACGAUCAGUAGCUGGUCUGAGAGGAUGAUCAGCCACAUUGGGACUGAGACACGGCCCAAACUCCUACGGGAGGCAGCAGUGGGGAAUCUUGCGCAAUGGGCGAAAGCCUGACGCAGCCAUGCCGCGUGAAUGAUGAAGGUCUUAGGAUUGUAAAAUUCUUUCACCGGGGACGAUAAUGACGGUACCCGGAGAAGAAGCCCCGGCUAACUUCGUG